Molecule: long non-coding RNA, 951 nt
Organism: Onychostoma macrolepis
Lineage: Eukaryota; Metazoa; Chordata; Actinopteri; Cypriniformes; Cyprinidae
Exons: 3
Source: RefSeq, a predicted model, not a curated record
UCUUUCCCAUUGAUUAUGUGCUUGACAUUAUUGCAUAUCUUGAGCACAGCUUGGUUGAAGUCCUCCGAUUGGUCCGCGAAUACGUAGUGACCUGCACCCUGAAUGACCUUGAAGGAAUAAGAAAGUAAAAUGUGACUGUGUCCUCCAGGGCUUGUACAAACUGCUCCUCUGCAUCCUUGGCAUCCCUGGCGAAAGUUGGUCGACUGCUGCGUCCAAAACCCAGCAUGUCCAAUGCAAACACGGGCCGUCCUUCCAGUGCAAGGGCAGGUAGAUUUUUUACCCAGAGACCCACUCCACACCCAAAACCAUGUAGCAGCACCAGCGGGACCUGAUGGCAUUGAACCCCAAAGGCUGAGAGGUCAGGAUUUUGUUUUCUGCUUGUAUAAGAUUGGAGAGCGAGGUGGGACACCAGGACGGCAGCCAACUGGAGAUCCACCAUGACCUGUGAUACACAGCGAACAGAUACAAAAUGCACACAUUAAGAUUUAAUAAUGCCUAGAAUUUUUCUGUUAUUGUUUCCAUCUGUUUUCUCAUCAUUCUUCUGGCUCUUGUGUAAGAACAUUUUUUUGUCUAAUAUUUAGAACAUGCCUCUUGGGUAUUUCACAGUACGAUUGCAUGAUCCUUACUUAUAUUUAUUUAACAUUUUCUAUAUUUUCUAUUGUCAUUAAAGAGUUGUAUAUACAUAUAUGUAUGUAUUUAACAUUAUACCAACCACAAGCAAGUAAUACAGAAUAGAAUUUUCCAGUGUGUAAAGGAAAAAAAGUUCUACUCUCAUGAACUAACAUUUCUCUCUUUAUUUCAUGAACACACACAUAUAGAGAUGUACGUGCACAGCUUACCUCCUUUGUGGAAGUACAAAUUCCUCUUGAUCUGUUCUCAUUGUUCCUCAUGUAUUGUCAUCACUGACAUAUUAUUUUUGAGAGAAUGAGGACUGAAACACAGGCAAUGCAA